GCAAGAAGUAGAUGAUAACUGUGAGAAUUUGGUGUUCUCUCAACUAAGAGUGCUUUCACUAAACUGCCUUCCCAACCUGGAAGGAUUUUGCACGGAUUAUACCUUGACUUUCAAAUGGCCAUCCUUGGAAAAGGUAAAGGUGGUUCGUUGUCCCAAAAUGCAAAUGUUUGCUGCUGUUGUGGAUUCUGAAGGAGACUUGAGCACACCAAAGUUGGAGAUGAUCGAAGUAGAUGGUGUUAACAUAAAGCUUUGGAACAGAUAUAAACAGAGUCAUGCAAGUCAUGCAAGCCAACUACAGAGGCGAGGGAAUUGCAGGUCCUUCUAACUGACCAAUAAAGCUGUGUGCAGGGAACAACAAAUAAAAUGGAGAGGUAGUUCAAUUUGCUGUCAAUGAGUGCAGCUCAAACAUUGGCAAUGAAAGGGAUGCGUGUGAGCUGUGCUGGGCAUCUCUCAUUUUCUGCUUUUGGCCUUUGGGGUUUUACAUCAAUGUGAGGAUUAAAAGUUUGGGGAAAACAAAUAGAGCAUGGCAAAAUUCUGCAGAGGAGGAGGGUCUUUGAGGUCAUAUGAAUAGUGUUUAGUAGUACCAAAUUCUUCAAUUUCUUCUGCUUCAUUAUUGAAUAGUGAAGUAUAUUUGUUAUUGAAAUAAUUUAAUGGAGGAUCACAGAUUGAAUUGGGGAAGCAAAGUUAAGUAAG
This 693-nucleotide unclassified non-coding RNA is filed under the name Hevea brasiliensis (rubber tree). The record is from RNAcentral. Lineage: Eukaryota; Viridiplantae; Streptophyta; Magnoliopsida; Malpighiales; Euphorbiaceae.